AAUCAACGCUGGCGGCGUGCCUCAGACAUACAAGUCGAACGAUUAAAGCUCUCUUCGGAGAGUGUAUAGAGUGGCGCACGGGUGAGUAACACGUAAGUAAUCUACCCUCGAGUGGGGAAUAACAACCGGAAACGGUUGCUAAUACCGCAUAAUGCAGCGGCACCGCAAGGUGACAGUUGUUAAAGAUUUAUCGCUUGAGGAGGAGCUUGCGGCAGAUUAGCUAGUUGGUAGGGUAACGGCUUACCAAGGCUACGAUCUGUAACCGGUCUAAGAGGACGGUCGGUCACACUGACACUGAAUAACGGGUCAGACUCCUACGGGAGGCAGCAGUCGGGAAUUUUGGGCAAUGGGCGAAAGCCUGACCCAGCAACGCCGCGUGAAGGAUGAAGUAUUUCGGUAUGUAACUUCGAAGAAUAGGAAGAAUUAAUGACGGUACUAUUAUAAGGUCCGGCUAACUACGUGCCAGCAGCCGCGGU
Molecule: ribosomal RNA, 476 nt
Filed under: uncultured bacterium
Lineage: Bacteria
Description: bacterial SSU rRNA
Rfam family: Bacterial small subunit ribosomal RNA
Source: RNAcentral